This 442-nucleotide ribosomal RNA is filed under the name uncultured bacterium. Its description in RNAcentral is "partial 16S ribosomal RNA". It matches the Rfam family "Bacterial small subunit ribosomal RNA", at positions 338 to 795 of the family's 1533-position model. The record is from RNAcentral.
CCUACGGGUGGCUGCAGUGGGGAAUAUUGGGCAAUGGGCGCAAGCCUGACCCAGCAACGCCGCGUGAAGGAAGAAGGCUUUCGGGUUGUAACCUUCUUUUAAGAGGGAAGAGAAGAAGACGGUACCUCUUGAAUAAGCCACGGCUAACUACGUGCCAGCAGCCGCGGGAAUACGUAGGUGGCAAGCGUUGUCCGGAUUUCCUGGGUGUAAAGGGCGUGCAGCCGGGCCGACAAGUCAACUGUGAAAUCCCGCGGCUCAACCGCGGAACUGCAUUUGAAACUGUCAGUCGUGAGUACCGGAGAGGUAAUCGGAAUGCCUGGUGUAGCGGUGAAAUGCGUAGAUAUAAGGAAGAACACCAGUUGCGAAGGCGGAUGACUGGACGGCAACUGACGGUGAGGCGCGAAAGCGUGGGGAGCAAACAGGAUUAGAUACCCCUGUAGUC